UGUUGAUUUUCAGCUGUUGGAUUAGAAACUCGAGUAUAUUUACCAACCUAAAGAUGAAACCCUAAUAUUUCAUUGUUUUCUCGCCGCUGCUCUCUAUCUCUUUCCAAAAUUCAGUGAGAGUACCGGUGUGUUCCCUAUAAACCCUAAGCUAAGAGAAAUUGAAAUCUCAUGGAUUUCGAUAAUCCAAAAUCUCAGAAGUCUAUGGGUGAAGCUUUAGAAGAUAGAAUUAACCAAUUACCUGACUCAGUUCUUCAUCACAUCCUUUCAUCAUCACCCCUUGAUAUCAAGGAUGUUGCUCGUACUUGUGUGCUAUCUAAAAGAUGGAAGCACAUAUGGACCUCUAUCCCCACCCUCGAUUUCCGGUUUUGGAUAUUACCUCCUUCGACACCGGAGAUCAAUAAAUCAUGGAUUUUGUAGACAGAACAUUGCUUCUUCAUCACAAAUCAAAUAUUGUAAAGUUUGAGCUCAACUUAUUCAACAAUAUGAAUGCAUCACGGGUUCAUUCAUGGAUCGAAUAUUUAACCAGUUGUGAUGUCCAAAAUCUCAGUUUCUAUGUAGGGUUUUUUCAAAAAAUACCUUUAUCUCUUCCUGUAUCUCUUUUUACAUGUGAGUCAUUGACAAAAUUGGAGCUAAGUGAGGGUCUGCAUUUUGCCUAAAAACAUCUCUUUUCCGCAUCUCAAGAGCCUUACACUCUCCGGAAUCCAAUUUGGUCGACCAUUCAUGUGAUGACGACAAAGAGUGUGAUAAAAGUGAAGAAUUGUUUCGACACCUCCAGUCAGUUCGGUUCGUGGAAUUCAGUGGUAGCAGGAGGGAGUCAAGAUGGGAAAAAUUAAUCUUGAAGUAUGCAGAAUCCUUGCAGACGAUGACUAUUGAAUACUAUGUUCCGGCGAUGAAAAGCAAAGAACUGGUUAUGUCGGAGUUUCUAAGCUUUAAAAGAGCCUCUAGGAAAUGCUGGGUUAAAUUUGUCUGUAACUUGUGAGAAAGGCAUGAGAUUUCCAGAAUCAACAUGUUUUUUUCCAGAGUAGUUAUUUGUAUUUAGUCUUGGUCCUCGACAGUGCAUUAUGAAUUUUUUUGGCAGAAAACAGGACACAAUUGCUUUAUGGAGAGAACAUGACAUGAUAUGUUAGUUUUUGAACUGCCGUCAUCUCUGAUUAGAUGUUUCUCCUAUCGCAAAAGAGAGAUCAUUUCACUUUCUAUGUAUUUCUCUUGCAUAACAAAAUUUGAUUUGUUGUAUGUAAGCUGUCUUUACAAUGACAGCACUAUCAAACCUGUUGUAGACAUACUUUAUCAAACCUGGUGUUGACUUAACAGGUACCUUGAAAGAUACAAUGUGGAAGAGGCAGAAAGUCUGGCAGUUUUUGAAGCUAUCCAGUGGAGCAACUCUAGAAGUCUACCUUCCAUCUGUAUUAGAACCGACUCAAGUAAUAUAUGCCAUUUCUUAUUUGAAUAAAACUGUUGACCAGAUUAGCUGGUCUUCUUGCUCCAUUAUGGAUGAUUGUCUAGUCUUAGUUAAACACACCUAAUUUUCUAAGUUUGAUUCUAAGUUGGAGUAUAUCCAGAGAGAAUUAAAUUCAUCUGCUGACAAAGCAGCUGAAAACAGUAGAAGGCCGGGUGUAACAGGUUCUUGGCUUCCCCAUGUCCUGAACCAAAAUUUUUAAUCUUUCUUUUUCACCAAAAUUUGUGAUAAAGGCAUGAGAUUUCCCAAAUCAGUAUGUUUUUUAUAGAGUAGUUAUUUGUAUUUAGUCUUGGUCCUUGACAAUGUAUUUUGAAUUUUUUUUGGCAGAAAACAGGACACAAUUGCUUUAUGGAGAGAACAUGACAUGAUAUGUUAGUUUUUGAACUGCCGCCAUCUCUGGUACCGUGAAAGAUACAAUGUGGAAGAGGCAGAAAGUCUGGCAGUUUUUGAAGCUAUCCAGUGGAGCAACUCUAGAAAUCUACCUUCCAUCUGUAUUAGAAGCGACUCAAAUAAUAAAACAGGACACAAUUGCUUUACGGAGAGAACAUGACAUGAUAUGUUAGUUUUUGAACUGCCGUCUCUAUGGUACCUUGAAAGAUACAAUGUGGAAGAGGCAGAAAGUCUGGAAGUUUUUGAAGCUAUCCAGUGGAGCAACUCUAGAAAUCUACCUUCCAUCUGUAUUAGAAGCGACUCAAAUAAUGUAUGUCAUUUUUUAUUUGAAUAAAACUGUUGACCAUAUUAGCUGGUCUGCUUGCUCCAUUAUGGAUGAUUGUCUAGUCUUAGUUAAAUACACCUAAUUUUCUAAGUUUGAUUCUAAGUUCGAGUAUAUCCAGAGAGAAUUAAAUUCAUCUGCUGACAAAGCAGCUGAAAACAGUAGAAGGUCGGGUGUAACAGGUUCUUGGCUUCCUGAACCAAAAGUUGUAAUCUUUCUUUUUCACCAAUGAAUUAAUUUUGUUACACCCCAAAAAAAAAA
Molecule: RNA transcript, 2429 nt
Organism: Papaver somniferum (opium poppy)
Lineage: Eukaryota; Viridiplantae; Streptophyta; Magnoliopsida; Ranunculales; Papaveraceae
Exons: 6
Source: RefSeq, a predicted model, not a curated record